UUCGAUUCCCUUAGUAGCGGCGAGCGAAACGGGAAGAGCCCAAACCAACAAGCUUGCUUGUUGGGGUUGUAGGACACUCUAUACGGAGUUACAAAGGACGACAUUAGACGAAUCAUCUGGAAAGAUGAAUCAAAGAAGGUAAUAAUCCUGUAGUCGAAAAUGUUGUCUCUCUUGAGUGGAUCCUGAGUACGACGGAGCACGUGAAAUUCCGUCGGAAUCUGGGAGGACCAUCUCCUAAGGCUAAAUACUCUCUAGUGACCGAUAGCGAACCAGUACCGUGAGGGAAAGGUGAAAAGCACCCCGGAAGGGGAGUGAAAUAGAACCUGAAACCGUGUGCUUACAAGUAGUCAGAGCCCGUUAAUGGGUGAUGGCGUGCCUUUUGUAGAAUGAACCGGCGAGUUACGAUUUGAUGCAAGGUUAAGCAGUAAAUGUGGAGCCGUAGCGAAAGCGAGUCUGAAUAGGGCGUUUAGUAUUUGGUCGUAGACCCGAAACCAGGUGAUCUACCCUUGGUCAGGUUGAAGUUCAGGUAACACUGAAUGGAGGACCGAACCGACUUACGUUGAAAAGUGAGCGGAUGAACUGAGGGUAGCGGAGAAAUUCCAAUCGAACCUGGAGAUAGCUGGUUCUCUCCGAAAUAGCUUUAGGGCUAGCCUCAAGUGAUGAUUAUUGGAGGUAGAGCACUGUUUGGACGAGGGGCCCCUCUCGGGUUACCGAAUUCAGACAAACUCCGAAUGCCAAUUAAUUUAACUUGGGAGUCAGAACAUGGGUGAUAAGGUCCGUGUUCGAAAGGGAAACAGCCCAGACCACCAGCUAAGGUCCCAAAAUAUAUGUUAAGUGGAAAAGGAUGUGGCGUUGCCCAGACAACUAGGAUGUUGGCUUAGAAGCAGCCAUCAUUUAAAGAGUGCGUAAUAGCUCACUAGUCGAGUGACACUGCGCCGAAAAUGUACCGGGGCUAAACAUAUUACCGAAGCUGUGGAUUGUCCUUUGGACAAUGGUAGGAGAGCGUUCUAAGGGCGUUGAAGCAUGAUCGUAAGGACAUGUGGAGCGCUUAGAAGUGAGAAUGCCGGUGUGAGUAGCGAAAGACGGGUGAGAAUCCCGUCCACCGAUUGACUAAGGUUUCCAGAGGAAGGCUCGUCCGCUCUGGGUUAGUCGGGUCCUAAGCUGAGGCCGACAGGCGUAGGCGAUGGAUAACAGGUUGAUAUUCCUGUACCACCUAUAAUCGUUUUAAUCGAUGGGGGGACGCAGUAGGAUAGGCGAAGCGUGCGAUUGGAUUGCACGUCUAAGCAGUAAGGCUGAGUAUUAGGCAAAUCCGGUACUCAUUAAGGCUGAGCUGUGAUGGGGAGAAGACAUUGUGUCUUCGAGUCGUUGAUUUCACACUGCCGAGAAAAGCCUCUAGAUAGAAAAUAGGUGCCCGUACCGCAAACCGACACAGGUAGUCAAGAUGAGAAUUCUAAGGUGAGCGAGCGAACUCUCGUUAAGGAACUCGGCAAAAUGACCCCGUAACUUCGGGAGAAGGGGUGCUCUUUAGGGUUAACGCCCAGAAGAGCCGCAGUGAAUAGGCCCAAGCGACUGUUUAUCAAAAACACAGGUCUCUGCUAAACCGUAAGGUGAUGUAUAGGGGCUGACGCCUGCCCGGUGCUGGAAGGUUAAGAGGAGUGGUUAGCUUCUGCGAAGCUACGAAUCGAAGCCCCAGUAAACGGCGGCCGUAACUAUAACGGUCCUAAGGUAGCGAAAUUCCUUGUCGGGUAAGUUCCGACCCGCACGAAAGGCGUAACGAUUUGGGCACUGUCUCAACGAGAGACUCGGUGAAAUCAUAGUACCUGUGAAGAUGCAGGUUACCCGCGACAGGACGGAAAGACCCCGUGGAGCUUUACUGUAGCCUGAUAUUGAAAUUCGGCACAGCUUGUACAGGAUAGGUAGGAGCCUUUGAAACGUGAGCGCUAGCUUACGUGGAGGCGCUGGUGGGAUACUACCCUAGCUGUGUUGGCUUUCUAACCCGCACCACUUAUCGUGGUGGGAGACAGUGUCAGGCGGGCAGUUUGACUGGGGCGGUCGCCUCCUAAAAGGUAACGGAGGCGCUCAAAGGUUCCCUCAGAAUGGUUGGAAAUCAUUCAUAGAGUGUAAAGGCAUAAGGGAGCUUGACUGCGAGACCUACAAGUCGAGCAGGGUCGAAAGACGGACUUAGUGAUCCGGUGGUUCCGCAUGGAAGGGCCAUCGCUCAACGGAUAAAAGCUACCCCGGGGAUAACAGGCUUAUCUCCCCCAAGAGUUCACAUCGACGGGGAGGUUUGGCACCUCGAUGUCGGCUCAUCGCAUCCUGGGGCUGUAGUCGGUCCCAAGGGUUGGGCUGUUCGCCCAUUAAAGCGGUACGCGAGCUGGGUUCAGAACGUCGUGAGACAGUUCGGUCCCUAUCCGUCGUGGGCGUAGGAAAUUUGAGAGGAGCUGUCCUUAGUACGAGAGGACCGGGAUGGACAUACCUCUGGUGUACCAGUUGUCGUGCCAACGGCAUAGCUGGGUAGCUAUGUGUGGACGGGAUAAGUGCUGAAAGCAUCUAAGCAUGAAGCCCCCCUCAAGAUGAGAUUUCCCAACUUCGGUUAUAAGAUCCCUCAAAGAUGAUGAGGUUAAUAGGUUCGAGGUGGAAGCAUGGUGACAUGUGGAGCUGACGAAUACUAAUCGAUCGAAGACUUAAUCAA
Molecule: ribosomal RNA, 2692 nt
Filed under: Staphylococcus aureus DAR5867
Lineage: Bacteria; Bacillati; Bacillota; Bacilli; Caryophanales; Staphylococcaceae
Description: bacterial LSU rRNA
Rfam family: Bacterial large subunit ribosomal RNA
Source: RNAcentral